GACGAACGCUGGCGGCGUGCUUAACACAUGCAAGUCGAACGAUGAAGCCUUUUCGGGGUGGAUUAGUGGCGAACGGGUGAGUAACACGUGGGUAAUCUGCCCUGCACUCUGGGAUAAGCCCGGGAAACUGGGUCUAAUACCGGAUAUGACUGUUGAUCGCAUGAUUGAUGGUGGAAAGUUCCGGCGGUGCAGGAUGAACCCGCGGCCUAUCAGCUUGUUGGUGGGGUAAUGGCCUACCAAGGCGACGACGGGUAGCCGGCCUGAGAGGGCGACCGGUCACACUGGGACUGAGACACGGCCCAGACUCCUACGGGAGGCAGCAGUGGGGAAUAUUGCACAAUGGGCGAAAGCCUGAUGCAGCGACGCCGCGUGAGGGAUGAC
This 381-nucleotide ribosomal RNA is filed under the name uncultured bacterium. Its description in RNAcentral is "bacterial SSU rRNA". It matches the Rfam family "Bacterial small subunit ribosomal RNA", at positions 28 to 412 of the family's 1533-position model. The record is from RNAcentral.